GGAUCUAAAAAAGUUUGUUUUGCUUAUUAAUAAAGACAAUUAAAUGGCUGCGGUAACACUAACUGUGAAAAUGUAGCGUAAUCAAUUGUUAAUUAAUUGUUGACCGGUAUGAAUGGUGUCACGAAAGUUUCUCUGUCUUAAAAAAAUACUUAAUGAAAUUGAAUUUGUAGUGAAGAUGCUACAUUAAAAUUGUAAGACGAGAAGUCCCCAUGGAACUUUACUGAGGGCUUAGGGGUUUUCUAUAAGCGGGACAGUUUUGUUGGGGCGACAGUUUUUUAAAAAGUAACAAAAACGAACUAUGGCGUAGCUUCACCCUGAAAAACUUUUUAAGGGACAUUUUUGGUGUGUUUUAUGAACCGUUGUUUGGAAUGAAAAAAAUAACGAAAACAAAUAAAAGUUACCCUGGGGAU
Molecule: ribosomal RNA, 410 nt
Filed under: Lobophyllia hemprichii
Lineage: Eukaryota; Metazoa; Cnidaria; Anthozoa; Scleractinia; Lobophylliidae
Description: partial 16S ribosomal RNA
Rfam family: Bacterial large subunit ribosomal RNA
Source: RNAcentral